GAUCAAGCGCGAGAAGGGCGUUUGGUGGAUGCCUUGGCAGUAAGAGGCGAUGAAGGACGUGAUACUCUGCGAUAAGCUUUGGGGAGCCGAGAAUAGGCUUUGAUCCAAGGAUUUCCGAAUGGGGCAACCCACUUGAAAGUUUGAUAUAAUUGCUUCUGGC
This is a ribosomal RNA of 160 nucleotides. It matches the Rfam family "Bacterial large subunit ribosomal RNA", at positions 1 to 158 of the family's 2925-position model. The record is from Rfam.